GCGCAUGCCUGAAAACUUGUAACCUAAGCUACGCACGGGGAACCUCGUUUCACCAUCAUUGCUUGGGGGAAAGUCCCCGGACUCUGGGCAGAGAUGUCCUGCAUGCAGCGCAGAGCGGUGGUUUGCGUAGCGUGUCGAUGCUAAGACGUCCUCGUGACAGAGCAUAACGCUUGCAAUCCAGAUUUGUCAAUGAAAUAGAUAUUCAAGUGAAGCAUAAACGUGCUUCUACAGAACGGGGCUCAUUCUCAGCUUGCG
Molecule: ribozyme, 255 nt
Organism: Carassius auratus (goldfish)
Lineage: Eukaryota; Metazoa; Chordata; Actinopteri; Cypriniformes; Cyprinidae
Rfam family: RNase MRP
About the family: RNase MRP is an enzymatically active ribonucleoprotein with two distinct roles in eukaryotes. In mitochondria it plays a direct role in the initiation of mitochondrial DNA replication.
Source: Ensembl